CCUACGGGGGGCUGCAGUGGGGAAUAUUGGACAAUGGGCGAAAGCCUGAUCCAGCCAUGCCGCGUGUGUGAAGAAGGCCUUCGGGUUGUAAAGCACUUUCAGUGGGGAAGAAAGCCUUGGGGCUAAUACCCUCGAGGAAGGACAUCACCCACAGAAGAAGCACCGGCUAACUCCGUGCCAGCAGCCGCGGUAAUACGGAGGGUGCGAGCGUUAAUCGGAAUUACUGGGCGUAAAGCGCGCGUAGGCGGUCUGAUAAGCCGGUUGUGAAAGCCCCGGGCUCAACCUGGGAACGGCAUCCGGAACUGUCAGGCUAGAGUGCAGGAGAGGAAGGUAGAAUUCCCGGUGUAGCGGUGAAAUGCGUAGAGAUCGGGAGGAAUACCAGUGGCGAAGGCGGCCUUCUGGACUGACACUGACGCUGAGGUGCGAAAGCGUGGGUAGCAAACAGGAUUAGAUACCCCAUAGUC
Molecule: ribosomal RNA, 464 nt
Filed under: Vreelandella stevensii
Lineage: Bacteria; Pseudomonadati; Pseudomonadota; Gammaproteobacteria; Oceanospirillales; Halomonadaceae
Description: partial 16S ribosomal RNA
Rfam family: Bacterial small subunit ribosomal RNA
Source: RNAcentral